Molecule: small nucleolar RNA, 200 nt
Organism: Gorilla gorilla gorilla (western lowland gorilla)
Lineage: Eukaryota; Metazoa; Chordata; Mammalia; Primates; Hominidae
Gene: U3
Rfam family: Small nucleolar RNA U3
About the family: Small nucleolar RNAs (snoRNAs) are involved in the processing and modification of rRNA in the nucleolus. There are two main classes of snoRNAs: the box C/D class, and the box H/ACA class.
Source: Ensembl
UAGACGAUACUUUCAAGGAUCAUUUCUAUAGUUCGUUACUAGAGAAAUUGCUCUGAAUGUGUAGAGCAGCAGCAAUCACAAAGAGGAGGCGCAGCAUCCUCCUCUGAGCAUGUUGCUUCCCUUCAACUGCGCUUUGCCAUUACUGAUGGUUCUUCUCUUCCUCUGCGAGAGUAAGAGGGAGAGGAUGCAGUCUGAAUGGG